AGACACGGUCCAGACUCCUACGGGAGGCAGCAGUGGGGAAUCUUCCGCAAUGGGCGAAAGCCUGACGGAGCAACGCCGCGUGAGUGAUGACGGCCUUCGGGUUGUAAAACUCUGUGAUCCGGGACGAAAAGGCAGAGUGCGAAGAACAAACUGCAUUGACGGUACCGGAAAAGCAAGCCACGGCUAACUACGUGCCAGCAGCCGCGGUAAUACGUAGGUGGCAAGCGUUGUCCGGAAUUAUUGGGCGUAAAGCGCGCGCAGGCGGCUUCCCAAGUCCCUCUUAAAAGUGCGGGGCUUAACCCCGUGAUGGGAAGGAAACUGGGAAGCUGGAGUAUCGGAGAGGAAAGUGGAAUUCCUAGUGUAGCGGUGAAAUGCGUAGAGAUUAGGAAGAACACCGGUGGCGAAGGCGACUUUCUGGACGAAAACUGACGCUGAGGCGCGAAAGCGUGGGGAGCAAACAGGAUCAGAUACCCUGGUAGUCCACGCCGUAAAC
RNAcentral lists this ribosomal RNA (493 nucleotides) under uncultured bacterium. RNAcentral's name for it is "bacterial SSU rRNA". It matches the Rfam family "Bacterial small subunit ribosomal RNA", at positions 322 to 807 of the family's 1533-position model. The record is from RNAcentral.